CCGGGUGCCGAAAGGACCCGGCAUGGAGAGUGCGUCCGCUCUCUCGGACGCUCUUCAUACACUCGUUGCUCAAAGGAGGACUUGUUUAUGAGGA
This is a non-coding RNA of Sphingomonas sp. 66-10, 94 nucleotides long. Lineage: Bacteria; Pseudomonadati; Pseudomonadota; Alphaproteobacteria; Sphingomonadales; Sphingomonadaceae. The record is from Rfam.